CCUACGGGUGGCAGCAGUGGGGAAUAUUGGACAAUGGGCGAAAGCCUGAUCCAGCCAUGCCGCGUGUGUGAAGAAGGCCUUCGGGUUGUAAAGCACUUUCAGUGGGGAAGAAAGCCUUGGGGCUAAUACCCUCGAGGAAGGACAUCACCCACAGAAGAAGCACCGGCUAACUCCGUGCCAGCAGCCGCGGUAAUACGGAGGGUGCGAGCGUUAAUCGGAAUUACUGGGCGUAAAGCGCGCGUAGGCGGUCUGAUAAGCCGGUUGUGAAAGCCCCGGGCUCAACCUGGGAACGGCAUCCGGAACUGUCAGGCUAGAGUGCAGGAGAGGAAGGUAGAAUUCCCGGUGUAGCGGUGAAAUGCGUAGAGAUCGGGAGGAAUACCAGUGGCGAAGGCGGCCUUCUGGACUGACACUGACGCUGAGGUGCUAAAGCGUGGGUAGCAAACAGGAUUAGAUACCCGAGUAGUC
This 465-nucleotide ribosomal RNA is filed under the name Vreelandella stevensii. Its description in RNAcentral is "partial 16S ribosomal RNA". It matches the Rfam family "Bacterial small subunit ribosomal RNA", at positions 338 to 795 of the family's 1533-position model. Lineage: Bacteria; Pseudomonadati; Pseudomonadota; Gammaproteobacteria; Oceanospirillales; Halomonadaceae. The record is from RNAcentral.